CAAUAGCGUAUAUUAAAGUUGUUGCAGUUAAAAAGCUCGUAGUUGGAUUUCUUGGGUAGCAAGCGGGUCGGCACAAAGUGUCUGUACUAGCUUUGCUAUUCAAUCCUCGUAACAAGGUAUCGGUGAGUUAACUCCAUUCGGUGCUGAGUUGCGUCAUUUACUGUGAACAAAUUAGAGUGUUUAAAGCAGGCAAAUGCUGUGAAUACAUUAGCAUGGAAUAAUAAGAUAGGACCUAGAGUCUAUUUUGUUGGUUGCGAUUUUAGGUAAUGAUUAAUAGGGAUAGUUGGGGGUAUUCAUAUUCAAUUGUCAGAGGUGAAAUUCUUGGAUUUAUGGAAGAUGAACAACUGCGAAAGCAUUUACCAAGGAUGUUUUCAUUAA
Molecule: ribosomal RNA, 378 nt
Filed under: uncultured eukaryote
Lineage: Eukaryota
Description: partial 18S ribosomal RNA
Rfam family: Eukaryotic small subunit ribosomal RNA
Source: RNAcentral